GAAGAGACGACUGAGUGGUUAGUGCUGCGUUGCCGGUCUCCAGCAGCAGUUGGCUUCUCCACGAAGAACCCGGGAGUAGUACACUCAAAAUCUUCUCUCCCUCUCCCCUCCUGGUUACAAAAUACUUGAAUACAUAAGUGAGUGGAACUUUGCUUGAGUGAGAUUUUUUUGAUCUUCAGCUACAUUUUUCGGCUUCGUGAGGAACCUUACCAUCAAACACAAAGGCUAGCAAUGUUACCAACAAGACAGAUCCUCGCCCCAUGAUCUCCCGUGUAUUCAUCGGGAAUCUUAACACUCUUGUGGUCAGGAAGUCUGAUGUGGGGGCAAUUUUUUCGAAGUAUGGCAAAAUUGUGGGUUGCUCUGUUCAUAAGGGCUUUGUCUUCGUUUCGUAUGUUAAUGAGAGGAAUGCCCGGGCUGCUGUAGCAGGAGAGGAUGGCAGAAUGAUUGCUGGCCAGGUUUUAGAUAUUAAUCUGGCUGCAGAGCCAAAAGUGAACCGAGGAAAAGCAGGUGUGAAACGAUCUGCGGCGGAGAUGUACGGCUCCUCUUUUGACUUGGACUACGACUUUCAGCGGGAUUAUGAUGACAGGAUGUACGGUUAACCCAGCACGAGUUAGGCCUCCUCCUCCUAUUGCUCGGGCUGUGGUGCCCUCGAAACGCCAGCGUGUCUCCGGAAACACCUCACGAAGGGGCAAAAGUGGCUUCAGUUCUAAGAGUGGACAGCGAGGAUCUUCUUCCAAGUCUGGAAAGUUGAAAGGUGAUGACCUUCAGGCCAUUAAGAAGGAACUGUCUCAGACAAAGCAAAAAGUGGAUUCUCUGCUGGAAAACCUGGAAAAAGUUGAAAAGGAACAGGGCAAACAAGCAGCAGCAGAGACGAAGAAAGAUACGGUAGAAGAGGAGCAAACUACCACCUCGGUGAAGAAAGGCGAAACUAACGUGAAGAUGGAGUCUUCAGGUGACUCUGCUGAGGAGGGGGACCUACUGGAUGGUGAGGAUAAUGAAGAUGGGGGGAUGACCAGCUGGAGUUGAUCAAGGUUGACGAAAAAGAGGCUGAGGGAGGAGAGGAUGACAGAGACAGCGCCGAUGGCCAGGAUGACUCUUAA
RNA transcript from Carlito syrichta (Philippine tarsier), 1100 nucleotides. It is a transcript of the gene named heterogeneous nuclear ribonucleoprotein C pseudogene, with no coding region annotated. The transcript has a single exon. The record is from RefSeq and is a predicted model, not a curated record. NCBI's taxonomy places the organism in Eukaryota, Metazoa, Chordata, Mammalia, Primates, Tarsiidae.